This 678-nucleotide ribosomal RNA is filed under the name uncultured soil bacterium. Its description in RNAcentral is "bacterial SSU rRNA". It matches the Rfam family "Bacterial small subunit ribosomal RNA", at positions 205 to 886 of the family's 1533-position model. The record is from RNAcentral.
AAUUCAGAUGGUUAAAGAUGGGCAUGCGUCCCAUUAGCUAGUUGGUGAGGUAACGGCUCACCAAGGCGACGAUGGGUAGGGGUUCUGAGAGGAUGAUCCCCCACACUGGUACUGAGACACGGACCAGACUCCUACGGGAGGCAGCAGUAAGGAAUAUUGGUCAAUGGACGCAAGUCUGAACCAGCCAUGCCGCGUGCAGGAAGACGGCCCUAUGGGUUGUAAACUGCUUUUGUACGGGAAGAACAGCGUCUACGUGUAGAUGUUUGACGGUACCGUAAGAAUAAGGAUCGGCUAACUCCGUGCCAGCAGCCGCGGUAAUACGGAGGAUCCGAGCGUUAUCCGGAUUUAUUGGGUUUAAAGGGUGCGCAGGCGGGUAUAUAAGUCAGAGGUGGAAUUCCACGGCUCAACUGUGGGACUGCCUUUGAUACUGCAUAUCUAGAGUAUAUUUGGAGUGGGCGGAAUGUAGCAUGUAGCGGUGAAAUGCUUAGAUAUGCUACAGAACACCGAUCGUGAAGACAGCUCACUAAACUAUAACUGACGCUCAGGCACGAAAGCGUGGGGAGCAAACAGGAUUAGAUACCCUGGUAGUCCACGCUGUAAACGAUGAUUACUCGCUGUUGGCGAUACACAGUCAGCGGCUAAGCGAAAGUGAUAAGUAAUCCACCUGGGGAGUACGAU